GUCCAGAUGAGCGCCAGUGAUUUGGUGUGGGUGCUUCAAACCCUUAACGGCUGAGGGUCAGAGUGGUUCGAAUCCACCUUCUGGGUG
This 87-nucleotide transfer RNA is filed under the name Caerostris extrusa. RNAcentral describes it as "tRNA-Sec". The record is from RNAcentral. Lineage: Eukaryota; Metazoa; Arthropoda; Arachnida; Araneae; Araneidae.